Rhinichthys klamathensis goyatoka is the source of this 833-nucleotide long non-coding RNA. RefSeq lists it as uncharacterized. NCBI's taxonomy places the organism in Eukaryota, Metazoa, Chordata, Actinopteri, Cypriniformes, Leuciscidae. The transcript is spliced from 2 exons. The record is from RefSeq and is a predicted model, not a curated record.
CUGAUGAACCAUAAAAACAUUGACAUCCAAUCAGAAUCCAUCCGACUUUAAAGAGCUCAAGCUUUUAAAGUGACAGACGACAAAACUGCAGAGUGCGCAUAGAAUUAACAGAACCCUAUCAUUUGCUGGAGUGGACGCUAAUAAAGUUAUCAUUUUCGUUAUCUUUAUAGUUAUCGUUCUUAGUGUGUACGGGACUUGAAGUCUUGAUCAAACGAACAUCAUGAUUUGCAGUUAUAGUCAUUCACAAUGUAAAAACAAAACAAAAAAUUCUACAGUAAAAAUAUCUUAACAUUAUUAAAACCAAGAGUAAUUACCUGUGUGCUACUUGAAGAGCAAAAUUGUAUUAGGUAACGUUUAGAGAUUAUAUCUUGAAUUGAGUUUACAUAUGGUGGUACUUUUCUUGUUUUAGGCAUAAAUCUUAUAAUUUCUUUUGAUUUAUGCUUAAAACAAGAACUAAGAAACUGUAUGUCAAUCAUGAUUUUACAAAUUGAAACCAACGCCUUAAGAUGAAGUCAGCUUGUGUUUAUGUCAAAACAAACGUGCACAGGGUCUUUUUACUGUGGGUUUAUUAUAGCUGUAAAAAUGGUUGUUGAAGAUGCCGGUGUUCAUUCUAUUCAUUCGAAUUCCAUCAUUAACUCCUUUUGUCUUCUGUUUAAAUUUUUCUGGGAACUGAAGUAGCUGAUUGCAUUUUGUUGUACAGAUUGUUGAAUCGUUUUCGCACAGUUAUCGAAUAAUGGGAAAAAAAGAUAAUAUAUUUUUAUUGACACACAAUGUAUUGUAGAAGGUACUCACAGAUUUUGAUAAUGAUCAAAUAAAUAAUGGAAAAAAAGAAA